AUUUGCCGCAGUUGUUUGACGACGGCCGUCGAGCUGUAAAGCAACUUUGGUCCGGAAGGAAAUUCUUCACUCUAAUACAGUCCGGGGGAUGACGGGUACCGGAAGAAUAAGCACCGGGCUAAACUACGUGCCAGCAGCCCGCGGUAAAUACGUAGGGUGCGAGCGUUAAUCCGGAAAUUACUGGGCGUAAAGCGUGCGCAGGCGGUUUGCUAAGACCGAUGUGAAAUCCCCGGGCUCAACCUGGGAACUGCAUUGGUGACUGGCAGGCUAGAGUAUGGCAGAGGGGGGGUAGAAUUCCACGUGUAGCAGUGAAAUGCGUAGAGAUGUGGAGGAAUACCGAUGGCGAAGGCAGCCCCCCUGGGCCAAUACUGACGCUCAUGCACGAAAGCGUGGGGAGCAAACAGGAUUAGAUACCCUGGUAGUCCACGCCCUAAACGAUGUCAACUAGUUGUUGGGGAUUCAUUUCCUUAGUAACGUAGCUAACGCGUGAAGUUGACCGCCUGGGGAGUACGGUCGCAAGAUUAAAACUCAAAGGAAUUGACGGGGACCCGCACAAGCGGUGGAUGAUGUGGGAUUAAUUCGAUGCAACGCGAAAAACCCUUACCCUACUCCUUUGACAUGGUCGGAAUCCCGCUGAGGAGGUGGGAGUGCUUCGAAAGAGAACCGGCGGCACAGGUGCUGCAUGGCUGUCGUCAGCUCGUGUCUGUGAGAUGUUGGGUUAAGUCCCGCAACGAGCGCCAACCCUUGUCCUUA
RNAcentral lists this ribosomal RNA (753 nucleotides) under Burkholderia sp. Its description in RNAcentral is "bacterial SSU rRNA". It matches the Rfam family "Bacterial small subunit ribosomal RNA", at positions 392 to 1113 of the family's 1533-position model. The record is from RNAcentral. Lineage: Bacteria; Pseudomonadati; Pseudomonadota; Betaproteobacteria; Burkholderiales; Burkholderiaceae.